UAGAGAUCGCUAAGCCCCUCGGUUUCCCCUCCUCGAGCCGAAAGGAUCAUGUGAUGGUGUUUACGUAAGAGGGAUACCAUCGGGCCAAAGGGGUGUGCGGGCUAGCAGACAGGCAUGCUGCUAGACCCCUGUGGCCAGUCGGGUUGGUGGGCUGCCACUGAGGCAGUCCGCCCUAGUCCCCUUAUGGGACUAGCAUGAUGUGGGGUGUCAAUCAUGCGUGCGGGUGGCCGAUACUGAUGCUAAGGGCUUAAGCCCUAAGAACCGAGUCUCGUGGGAUGAAAUGAACCUAGAGGCUCCUAGCUGGUCGCCGACCAGCUUAAGUGGGUUCCUCCCCAUAGAGUUCGAAAUGAGCGACCCUACGGGAUCAGGGCCAGAAAGGGCUCAUGGGCAUGCGGUUUGUAGGACUGGAAUUGGUCCGUCCAUGAAAAAAUGGAUACGAUACAAGGCUGACCUUGACUAGGAUUAGUCUUGGUGCCGCACGGACGCGUGGUUUCAGUAGCAGGAACGCGCGGCCCGUGAGACUCAAGCUCCGAACCCGCGCGGCUCCGGGACCCGAGCAUUCACCCUUCCGACGUCCCAGAUCAGCCUUCUCGCCACGGUUCACACCCUUGUGAGGUAUUGUCCGCUCUGGCCCCCUUGGCCUCACGGUUUUGUCCUACAAAAGGCGCCUCGCAAGGCGGAGAUGGUGUGAACCUUUUUAUACCCCAGGGACCCUCCUAUUAUGUUCGAUGUGGGAUUCAGGACUCCCCCUUAGGUCCGUGACAUUCUCCCUUGUCACGGGUCGAGACUCAAGCUCCGAACCCGCGCGGCUCCGGGACCCGGGCAUUCACCCUUCCGGUGUCCCGGAUCAGUCCUGACCGCCAUUGGUUCACACCCUUUGUGAGGUAUUGUCCGCUCUGGCCCCCUGGCCUCACGGUUUUGUCCUACAAAGGCGCCUACAAGACGGAGAUGGUGUAAACCCUUUUAUACCCCAGACUUCUAUUAUGUUCGAUGAUUCAGGACUCACCCUUAGGUCGUAAUUCUCCUCACCCAACUCUGAGGCCUCGUCAACAGGCCGGCACCCUUCUACUCCCUCGCUCCUCCUGAUCGACGUUUACUGGCUCUGAUACCACUUGUCACGUCGAGACUCAAGCUUCGAACGCGCGGCUCCGGGACCCGGCAUUCACCUGUUCCGCGUCCAGAUUCAGCCUUUUCGCACGGUUCACACCCUGUGAGGUAUUGUCCGCUCUAGCCCUGGCCUCACGGUUUUGUCUUACAAAAGGCGCCUCACAAGACGGAGAUGGUGUGAACCCUUUUAUACCCCAGUGACCCUCCUAUUAUGUUUCGAUGUGGGAUUCAGGACUCCCCCUUAGGUUCGUGACAUUCUCCCGCACCCAACCUCGUGACGCCCUCGUCACGGAGGCCGGCCACCCUGCCUACCUCCCUCGAGGCGCUCGGCGUGGAUCGAACGGUUUAGGGCUGGCUCUGAUACCACUUGUCACGGGUCGAGACUCAAGCUCCGAACCCGCGCGGCUCCGGGACCCGGGCAUUCACCCUUCCGGUGUCCCGGAUCAGCCUGACCGUCAUGGUUCACACCCUUGUGAGGUAUUGUCCGCUCUGGCCCCCGUGGCCUCACGGUUUUGUCCUACAAAAGGCGCCUCACAAGACGGAGAUGGUGUGAACCCUUUUAUACCCCAGGGACCUUCCUAUUAUGUUCGAUGUGGGAUUCAGGACUCCCCCUUAGGUCCGUGACAUUCUCCCGCACCCAACCUCGUGACGCCCUCGUCACGGAGGCCGGCCACCCUGCCUACCUCCCUCGAGGCGCUCGGCGUGGAUCGAACGGUUUAGGGCUGGCUCUGAUACCACGUGUCACGGACUAAGCUUUCUCUCAACAAGCACUAGCCCGCGAGGCACUUGAAUGGACGCUUCCACCCAAGUCAGCCCUCAAUAGAUCGAGAUAUCGGGACCUCCCACCAUCACCAGGGCCAGGGGGGCAGCCCAUGGUGGGUGGCCUAAGCUCGCAUAGCACCCGGUGAGACAGCCCAACAAUACCCUGUCGGCUCACCCCCCCUAAAGAGCCUUAGAGAUUUUAGAGCUAUGCUACCAGUAACCGUUACAAUGUUUGAAAUGGGGACACUUUUCCUAACACAAGGGGUCUACCCGGCCAUGGCCCUAUACAUGGGUGGCUCAUGGCAACCUAAGUCCCGGUCAUGGCCUUAUACAAGGUUGGCUCAUGACAUCCUCCCCCACCUAUUCUAACGACGUCCUCGUCGACUUGCUGGCUUGAAAUUCUUCGAUCUUCCUUUGAAAUCUUGCUGGAGGUCGUGCUCUCUCUCCCAGCUGGUUUCUUCUAGGCCUAGUCCUCCCCACCUUUACUAAGUACUCCCGAAGUUAGUCUUCGAGAUUCUGUUUCCCUAUCAGCUAAGAUCUCUUGGACUCGACGCUCUGAAGGUGGUUUCAUGUGAUGGCGGCUCUGGUUGGCUCUCUUCGACUAGCAUCUGUAGGAUCUGCAUGGAAUGGCUUCCAAGUUGCUCACAUGAGAAUACUAGUGCACCUUCAUCCAAUUUGGAGGGUCGAUUUGGUAGGAAGCAUUCUCCACUUUGGAAAGGACCCUUACUGGACCUUCGUACUUGCGCACCAAUCUACGAUAAUUCCUAUAUAUCAUGAUAUUUCUGCAGGAACUGCAUAAUGGAAUGGUGCAAAUAGAAGCCUGAAUGCCCACUGUGCCGUAUUCCCAUAACUCAUUCAAGUCUAGUUUGUUUAUAUCAUUCAUACUUCUAGCUUGUGAUUACAAGCAUCGCUGAAGUGAACACUCAGGAAGAGUGAACAUAUUUAAAGUAACCCAUUUAUCUUCUAUUGUUCAGAAAUGGUAUAAAUUUUCAGUGAACAGUGUAGAAUUCUAUGCUGAGAAAGUUAACAAUAGUGGUCUUUACACCAUUGCUCAGGUUGGGUGCCUACGCUACAAGCUCCUUAGAAGCCUAGCUUUACCUCAGUUUUUUUUUUCAACAGUUUUGACCUUCUCUCUGUUAGUGCGAUUUCCUCUUUCCUUAGUAAGAUAUAUAUUUUUUUUUGUGUUCCCAAAGAACCCCUUUUUUUUUAGUUCACUUCUCUCCUUCUAGCUUUCCCCUUCUUUUCUCUUUUUUAAGACUCUCAUUUUCCCUUUUUUUUUUCGGCAACUUUCCCUUCUCUUUUAUGGUGAAUGGGAGCCUUGCUAACCGAGUCUUGUCAUUUGUCUUCUUCUCCCCACUUCCCUACAGCUACCUUGGCCGACCACUAACCAUGCUUUUAUUUACUGUAGGUUGGUCUUGUGCAAGUGUCGCCAACUUUUGUUUCGCUGGACUGUCUCCCACUUCUUGCUGAUCCUCUUCGUUUCUUUGUUGGCUUCUCUCUCCUUUUGUUUUUCAUGCCAAUAUUUUCACAUGACAGAAUGACCUCUUUGUUUUUUUAUUGGGCUCUUACCAUCUUUGUUCCUUGGGUCAAGUUAGAUUACCAAUUCGGGCUAAAAUAUUGUUGCAUUUUAUGGGCUCUUAAGUGAGCCAUCUUAUGGAUUUCAAAUGGACUCUAUUUAAAUUUCCUAAAAUUUUGCAUUAUGGGCUAUAUUUUUAGCUUCGUUUGGGUGGUUUUGAGCUUCAUUUCUGAAUUUCGUAAAAGGUAUCUAAAAGAGAUGUAUUAUGUGUAACACUUUGGGCUUUAAAUGGGUCAUGAAGGUGGGUCACCUAUCGGGUUUUCUUUUGGAUUGUGAAUGAACCCCUAAAAUAUCUACUUAAUGAGUUCAAAUUAAUGGUUUCAGCCUAAUUUAAAAACAGGUUUGGGUGAAUUAUGUUAAAAAGUUUCAGAUAAAAUUUGGUGUCUAUCAAUUAUUUUGAUAUAUUAUUUUAGAUUUUUUAAUUUAGUAUAAAUAUAUUUAUAAAUAUGUAUGAACUUGUACAUUAUAAUACUAUUAAUAAUCCAUAAAAUAAAUUUACAAUAUCUUUAAAAAUCAAAUAAAUAAGUUUAAAAGUAUAAGAAACAAUAUUAUAAAAUUUUUAUAAUAUUUUUAAACACUUAGUCUUAUCAUAUGAUAUUUAAAUAAAUAUUUUUUUCAUGUAAAUAUUAAGAUUAAAAUAAUAAGAUUAAAAAAAUUAACCAAGGCUUUAUGAUUGUUAAAUUUUAUAAAAGGAGCAUAAUUAAUUUCUUGAAAAAAAUUAAAAUGCUUAUAAAUUUUGAUUUGAAAAAAUAAAAUAUAAUAUUAUAAACUUUAAUUUGAAAAAAUAAAGUAUAAAAAACAAGUUAAAAUAAAAAAGUAAAGAAACUCAAUCUUCAAAAGUUAUUUUGUUAAUUAAUGUUUUAUUAGGUUAGAAAUAAUUAAACAACAAAAAAUAAAUUAAAAAUUACAAAAUAUAUUUCACAUUUACAUAUCAACUGAAACAUGUUAUUUCACAAAAAUUCAUUGAAAUCUGUUAAAAUUAAUAAAAAUUAUAAGUAUUACCCAAAUAUCAAAUUCGAUAUAAAAUAUCAUCUUUCAGUAUAUUGUAUUUUAAUAUAACUAAAAUAUAUAAACAUGUAUGAUUAGUACUGAAAUAAAAUUAAUAAUUAUAACUUAAUCAUAUAAUUUAUUUAUGAAGUUAACUCCUAAUAAUUUUUUAACACAAACUAAAUAGACAUACUUCUUAACAUAAAUUGAAAAUAAACACAGUUUUAAAUUUUUUAACACAAACUAAAAUUAAGAAAAGUUUUCUAUCAUUGAUUAAAUAAUCAAUUUUUCCUUUUAUUUUUUCCGCACCUAUUGUGUACAUGUGCAGGUGCGUCAGACCUUCGAAGCCUAAUAAGAUUUCUAGAAUGAGAAUUGCGACUUCGACUUUUUGUUUUGUCGAUUUGUGAAUGCUGAUGUCAUCUGUCGCGUGGGAAGCAUCCGCAAUUUUACCCCCACCGCCGCACGUUUCCUCUAUAAAUCAACGUGCUAUUUUUCCCUCCUCUCCCCACUAAACUCCCAUCAGUCAUCAGUCAUCCGAGCAGGAGUUCUGAGAAUCUGGGGUCGGAUUAUCACAGACCCAGGAUCUUUCCAUAUAAAUAAGUUAGGCACUUUUCCUUUUUAUAAUAUCAGAAGUUGUCCAGGCGAAGGAGAAUAUGUCGAGAUCCGUUAAAUGGGCUAUAGUUAUUUCAUUUGUCCUGAUCCUGUUGUUUGGAUCAUGGGCAACUCAUCUAGAGGCAAGGGACCUCUCUUAUGGCAGACUGAAAGGUCCUCCGGCUCCUACAUGCAGUGGGGUUUAUUGCCCUCCAAAAGAACCCGUCAACAACCAGGAUAGGGGCUGUAAUAAAGGCGAUUACUGCCGCGGUACUGAUAAGCGGAACUGAAUCCAAUCUUGAAGAAUAUAUCAUCAAAUUUCAGAUGUUAGAUUUGGCCGUUGUUGGUGGACAUUUGUGAUUUUUGUCCUCUCGGCCAAACUGUGUACUUUUUCAAUUUUAUUUAAUGAAUGGUGCUUUUUUUUGUUGAAAUUAUUUUUUUUAACACUCUAUGGUAUGUUGCCACUUGAUUUGCUUUAUUAAAAGCUGUAAUUUUUGUUGUAAAUUUCUAGUGUUGACAACAGCAAAAUAAUGCCAGCAAAUCUAGCAAGUACAUUAAUAUUUGAAUCUGUUUUAGUUUAGUUCGAUACGUGUAGUGUGUGUUCUGCAGGUACAAGUUUGUUUUUAUGUAAAAAUGAUUGCGUUUGUAUAGUGUUUGAUAAUAGAUUGAAUUUCUAGCACACUAUAGCUAAGUGUGUCUUCUGUUUUGAAUUAAUACUGAAUAUAUGUUUCUGUUCAUUUCAGCUCCAAAAUCCCUCUCUCCGGAAGAAUUUGGUUGUUUCUCCAACUGAAGUCGUCAAUCACAAUUUAUUAUUUCAGCCGAACUUGUUGAGGUUAAUUUUGUCUGUUUGACAAGGGAAAUAUAUUUUAUAUCCGUUUCAACCAUGGCUGUUCUCUUUGGUCAAAAAGAAAACCAGCCUUCACCGAUGUCGACCGCAUCAAAAUCAUACUUGUUCUCUCCUUAAUCUUUUUUUCUCGCUUCAUUACAUGUGCCUUUUAUGAUUACCUAAAAAUGAUUAAGCACAUUUACCACUAAAAUAAAAUAUUGAGAUUCCUUUCACUGUCAUCAUUGAUUAAAUUUAGUAGUAGUUGAGUCGGUACUGCAUACAUGAAUAUUCCAUUAGGCUCAUAUCAAACAAGACUAUGGACCAUAAAUCAGCACAUAAAACAAGUUUCCAAAAUUUUUAAGAAAUGUAUUAAGAAUUCUUACUUCUUGCACAUAAGCAUUUAGUUCAAUAAAAGAUAUAUAUAUAUAUAUAUAUAUAUCAAUUUCUUUAACGAGUUUAAAUUUCUCUUUUUAGAAAAAUCAAAAAAAAGAAAAAAAAAAAGAAUUCUCAAUUCUUACUCAUAAGGUAACUAAUGAGCCGUGUAGGCAUUUUUGGUCGAUUAUCUCCGCUGCUAUAAAUGGUAUAAUGUAAUUUGGUUUGUUUAGGGUUUGAUCUCAAGUGUGUUUGAAUGGAUACGUUUGAGACUUGGAAUAUAAUUGUUUAUCAUUUUUCAAUGAACUCAAGGUAUUAAACAAUGAAAUAUCUCCUUUAGACUUUUUGGCAUAUUUUGUCGUUGUAUUUGUUUUUCUUUCAAUUUGCAAAAGCAGGAUUUGAGCUUGUAUCAUCUUGAACAUAUGCGAGGUGCCUCCAUGUUUGACGGGAAAGAAACAGUAUUUUAGUAGGUUAUUAUGCCAACACUCUGGAUGAUACAGACCACUUUUUAUAUAAAAUUCCAAGGUGUGUAUAUAUAUAUAUAUAUAUAUAUCAUAUUUUAUCAAUGACAAUAGAAAAUAAUAGAAGAUUAAAUUAAGUUGAAAAGCUUUGAUCAGCGAAAAGUCAAUAUGUAAUAACUUUUUUAGGAUGCAGUUAGUAAUAAUUAAAGUGUACAAGGUAUAAAUUUCCCACUAUAUUUACGUGAGUGGUCUAAAUUUAUAAUUAAUCUUUCAAUUGAUGAAAAUUUAUCAUUAUAUUUUUAAUUUUGGGGCGAAUUUAUCGUUAUAGUUCAAAUGUUAGAGUAAUUAAAGAAUAUUCGGUAAAAAAUUCUAUUGAAAACUUUUUAUAAUUAAAAUAGAAAUUCAAUUCUUAAAAAACUGAGAAAAAAAAGGCCAAGAUUAAUUGAAAAGUAUGAUAUGAUAUUAUAUGUUUAUAAAAUGUAAUGAUAAAAAAAAUGUAACAAAAAUACGAUUAUGUAGCAUUAUUAUAUUUAAUAGAAAGCAUAAUGAUAAAACAAGAAGAUAAAAAACAUAAAAGGGAAAAUUUGAAUUUUAGUUUUUUUUUUUUGUCAUAUGAUUUUGGGAUAAGGAUCAAAUUUAUCACUUUAUUAGAUUAAGGGUUUCGUGUUUAUCAUUCUAAUUUUUUAUACAAAUUUACCAAUCAUUCUAAUUUUUUAUACAAAUUUACCACUCUAUUAUAUUUUUUGAUGCAAUUUUAGUUAUUCAUGUUUAUCUAAACUAAAAAAUAUUAUGUUAAGGAUUUCAAUUAUCUUUUUAUUUUUAUUAUAUAAAAAAAGUUAAAAAAAUACUUUAUUUCAAAUUCUAAAUAAGAAUAAUACUAAUAAUUAACAAAUAAAAAUAAAUUAUUUUUAAAAAAUAACAAAAAUGCCAUUAAUUUUUUGACUAUAUAUUUUUAUAUUUUUUACCAUUUUUUCUAAAAAUAAUUAAUUAUGUGAUGUUACUAAAAUAAAUAAUUAUCUUUAACCUAGUUUUUUAGUUAAAAACGUAACUCUCAUAACGAUUUUGGAGAUUGUUAGACAAAUUAUUAAAUAUAAAAAGUUACUACCAAAAGUUUUUAUUAGAUGUGAUUGACCAUUUAAAAAAAUAUUUUUUUAAUAAAAUUUUAAAAUUAAUUAAAAUUUUAUUUAAAAGAUAAUUUUUGAGUCUAUGAAAACAUAUUGAGUUCAAAAAUACGAUUAUGCGUGAGAAAAGAUUAACAUCCUUACAACGUUUGUUCAAAAAUUGUAUUAAUUAAUUAUGUGUUAUCUUUUAUUCUUGACAAAAAUGUUUUGAUUUUGAUAUUUAGAAAUAAUUUUCUUAACUCCGUUUGUUUAUCAUAAUUUUGAUUUUUUAUAUUUUUAUUCACAAAAAAUUCUCUUUUAUUUUUUAUUUAAAAAUUAUUAUUUUAUUUUUAUCUAAAAAAUAAAUUGAAGUUUUGUUAUUAAAAAAUUCUUAAAAUGUUUCAAUACAUUAGUAAUAUUAGAAAAAAAUUUCUCACUUAAAUAUUUUUUAAGAAUUACUAUUCAAAUUUUUUUAAAAUUUUAUUUUCAAAGACUUUUUUUAAUUAAUUAAUUGAAUUAAUAUUAUGCAUUAUUAUAUGUAACAUUAUUAUUUUUUAAAAAAUCUUUUAUUUUAUUAUUUUUUAAUUAAAAAUAAAUAAAUGAAAAUUUUUUAUUGAAUAUUUUUAAAUACUUCAGUACUUUGAUAAUAUUUUAAAAAAAUAUUUUCACCUAAAAUUUUUUUUAAAAAAUCACCAUUUAAAAUUUUUUAAUAUCUUAUUAUCAAAGAAAUUUCAUUUUUUUUUAUUUGAAAAGAUUUUUUAGUAUGUUUUAAACUCUAUUUAUUUAAAAAUUAAAAUUUAAAUAUGUAUAAAUAAACACAUAAGUAAUUUAGCAAAUACUUGAAAAAAUUAAAAAUUAAAAAAUUACCUAAAAAAAUUCAAUUAAAGUCGAUUAAAGUCAAUUAAUGGCUCGGAGCGAAGCAAUUCAUUAUUGAUUCGAAGCGAUUUAGUCAAUCCAACUAAUGGUUUUUAAGCAAAUUGAAUCUAACUAGUUUAGUCAAUCUAAUUUAAGACUAGUCCUCAGUAGCCAGAUAUGGGUCAGGCACGUCGACCUUGGACAAGGUCAGAUCCACGGGCAGUAGGCCAUUUUUUUUCUUUUCUAUACGAGUCAAAUUUUUUUCAUAAAAUCAUUUCAUUCUUUCUUGUAAAGAAAAAAACUUCAAACAUUCUCUCAAAACCAAGAACAUCGGCCACCCAGUUUCCAUAAUUUGACCAUAAGCAGUCACUCUGGUCAUCGCUUUUCACCUUUAUUUAACCUUAAAAUUUCAACCCACACUAAUCUCAACCUUUUGAACAUGACUCUAAUUUUAGUUUUUUUUUUCAAAAACAAGCCCUAGAAACCUAGAUCUAACCUCAAGAUUUGGUUGAACAUUUUUUUAUUUUUAAUUUUUUGGCUUCAUUUUCUUUUUUUUUUGACACUGUGGUUUCCUUUUUCAAGGAAUAUGGCUUUUUGUUUAGGUGUGUGAGUGGUUUUUCUUGAAUGGUUCUUAAUUGGUUUUCUAGUAAUAAUGUUCGAUGGUGGAGAUUUAGAUCUUUUAGGGGUUACGACAAGGUGGGUCUAUGCUUGCUGGUGGGUAGUUUUAGCUUAGGGUAGUGGUGUUUUAGUAAUAGCAGAAUGUUUCUAUUCCAAUUUUUGAGUUGGUUUUAUUGGCUAUUGAAUAUGAUUGAGGAUAUGAUCACAGUGGUGUGUGAGGGUUGGCUUUCAGGUUAAGAUGAUGGUGGUUGUUGGUAGAGGUAAUGGGUUGGGAUUUUUGUUUGGCAUUGGUGGUGGACGUUUUUUCCAGACCUUUGUUUUGGAUAAAUUAGCCUCAUUCUCUGUUGAUUUUUGCAUAAUUUUAUAUUGUUUUAGGAUCAAGGUAAAGUCUAAGAAAAUAUGUGAUGGACCAGUGGAAAAAUGGGUGCUUAAGCUUGAUGGCAAUUGAAAUUUAGUUGCCAUAAUAGUCAUAGCCCUCAAUUUCACAUUGGAAGAAUGUGUGGAUAAGAAAUGAUAUAUAUGUAAAGACUUAAAUAUAAACUUAUAAUGUACCUUUUGUAAGACAAAAUCAUGAGACCUACGGGUUAAAGUAGACAAUACCUCAUAGAUUGGGUACGAGUCUCUACAAGUGGUAUUAAAGUCAGCUCUGGAGGUACUAGUGAUGUGCCACUAAAGACGUUGGAGUGAAAAAAGAUGUCACGAUCCUAAGAAAGAGUCAUGAAUUCUAUAUCGACUGUAUACUAAAGUUUGUCAUGGGGUAUAAGGGUUCACAUCACUUUCUUUUUGUGAGGUAUCUUUUGUGAGAUAAAACUGUGAGGUUAAGAGAAGUCGAAGUGGAUAAUACUUCACAAAGGUGUGAAUCAUAAUAGUUAAGUUGAUCUGAAACGUUAAAUGAGUCUAUAUCGGGUCCUGAAGUUGCACGAGCCUGAAAGUUGAGUAUCGGCCUGUGACAUAAGGUGGCUGAUGAUAUGUAGGGAUCUAUCCAGCCCAUGUAUCCUACCAACUUUUUGUUUUUUUAUUUUUUAUUUUAUUUAAAUUAAUUAAUUUUUAAUUAAACUAACUAAUUAAUUUUACUUCAUAGAAAAUGGCCUUUAAAUUGAACUUUGGGUCAAUCUUGGAUUCUUGGAUUAUCAAGCUUAACUCAAAUUGAAUUCAACCAUAUGAAUUUUAAAUUAAAUUCAACUCAUUAAUUUUAUCCAUGCAAUCGAACUCAUUUGAAUCCAAAUAAUCAACUUAAAUAAGAUGUCCCAAUGGCUAUGAAUUGAGAUCGAUUUUAAUUAUUUUUUACAAUAUUAAAUAUCUAUAAUAGUUAAAUAAUUCUAAUAUAAUAUUCCUCCAAAAAAUUAAAUUUGUAGCAACCACCUCUUAAUUAUGCUUGUAAAAUUAAAAUACUUACUUUUAGUAUGUCAAAAAUAAUUUUUUUGAAAUUGCAAAAUUUCUCAUACUUUAAUCUACGUUUAGGCUUAAAUCAUUAAUAAGGAAGCAUAUUGAAAAAUGAAAAACUAUAAUUAACAUUAAAUAUCACGUUAGAACCCAAGAAAUCAAAGGUCACUCGGUGAAAAACAUUGAAAUUAAGUUUGAAAAUCGAAGUGGAUGUUCGAUAUGCAAGACUUUUAUGCACACGUUAUAUACUGAAUUUAGCAAGUUUAGUUUACUGCUUUGUAACUACAUAGACUUGAUUGUACUAAUUACACUAUUGUAGACAUUAAUUUACACACUUUAUUAUAUCCAGAUCGAUUUAAGUUUGUUUAAUUUAUAAGUGAAGGAAAAUGAAAUGAUAAAAAAAAGUUUGCUUUUAUAGUAAGUAAAAAAAUCUGACCUGACUUAAAAAUUCAACCGUGUCAAAUUUGAUGUGACCUGCAUCAAUUUUUGACCCAGGAGCCUAACAAUUUGGGCCAUCUUACUUUGGUUGACUUUGGGUUCAAGCCCAAAAGUUUUAUUUGACAUGUUUAUCUUCUUUCUUCUAUUUUGCUAUAUUAUUAUGAGCAUUUGUUCUCCUUAUGUUUUUAAAUACUAUUGAAAAUAACUUUAUUUAUGGAAUAUUGAGGUUGUCAAAAAAUGAUAGUAAAACUUUUAAUAAAUAACAAUAAUAAUAAUUUUAUGAUUUAAAGAUGAUUUUUUGAAGAGGAGAUUUUUAAAAAAUAAAAAUAAAAUAAUAUUUUUAAGUAACAUAUAAUUAUGGAGAUCCUAUCUAGAUAUUAUAUAAGAUUUAAAUAAUUACUUGUACAAAAAAAUAUUAUCUUAAUUUUAAAAAAUGUAUUUAUGAGAACUCCUUGGGUAAAAAAUAUUAAUUUUUAAAAAUUUUGCCAAGGUAUGAGAGAAUUAAAAAAAAACUUCAAUAAAAAAAUUGAUAAAAGAAUAAAAAUUCUUUAUAAUUAAAUAGUUUUAAAUGGAUGAUGAAGAAUGAAAAGAAAUAAAGUUAAAGAAUUAUAUGAUGGAAUUAAAUUGAUCAUUUGCAUAUUUUAGUUUGUAUUUGCAUAUUUUAAUUUGUGUUUGUAUCAUUUGUUUGUUUCACAUUAUAUCAUGCAUUUUAUCAUUAUAAUAUAUAUAUAAAUUAAUAAAUAGUGAUUUUGAAAAGUUGAUUUUAAUAGAAGCCAAUACUCUUAACUAAAAAUAAUUAUUAUGAUCCUACCUAGAUAUUAGAUGUAUUUUCAAUAAUUAUUUUUUAUCAAAAAAUAUUAUAUUAGAUUUUAAGGAUUGUUAUGAGAAUCUCAAGUGAGCAAAUAUUUUUUAAAAUUCCACUUAAAUAUUAAAAAAAUUCAAAAAGUAUUCCAAAAAUAAAAGUUUCAUCGUAUUCCUAAGUACAAGAUUUUAAAAAUAUUUUAUUGCAAAAUAUAAGAAAUUAAAAAAAUUAUUUUAAAUAUUAGAAUUAAAAUUAUUUUUGUCCAAAUAAAAAAAUAACAUAUGAUUAGUUGAUAUCAUUUUUAAAGUAGACAUUAUAAGGUGUUAAUUAUUUGUAAUAUAAUUAUAUUUUCGAGUCUAUUUUCGUAAGCCAAAAAUUGUGUUUUUAAUCAAUUUUAAUUAAUUUAAGAUUUUAUUAAUAUCGUAACGGUUUUGUGUUCGUUCGACGAAUCUGAAAACGAAAUAAAAAAUAACGGAGUUGCCACCAAUCUUUUUUUGGUUAGGUGCGAUUGGUCACCUACUAAAACAUAUCAUUUUAAUAAAGUUUUAAAAUUAAUUAAAAUUUAUUAAAAAAAUAAUUUUACAGUCUGCAAAACCGUCUGGGUUCGGGAGUCGAUUACGCGUGGGAAGAAUUAGCACCACUACAGUGCCCGUUAAAAACAGUACCAAUUAACAAACGUGUUAUCCUUUGAUUUUGAUAAAAAUAGUCCAAUUUUCGGUGUUCAAAAAAUAAUUUCCUUGAUUUUUUAUUUAUUAGAAAAAAAAAUUAUUCUCGAGAAAAAUGAAUUAAAAUCUUUUUAUUGAAAUAAUUCUUAAAAUGUUCCAGUACGUUGGUAACAUUAGAAGAACUUUUUCUCACCUAGAGAUUUCUUAAACAUCGCUUAUCGGAAUACCUUAGAAUCUAAUUCUCGGAGGCUCAAAUUUACUUUUUGUAAAAAAUGUCAUGCAUGCAAUGCAAAAUGUUACUAUGUUGAUGCACACAUUUUAUUUUCCUUUGUUAAAAAUUUUAUUAAUUAUUUUAUUAAUAUUCUUAUUUAAAAUUAUGAAGAAAAAUGAAAUUUUCAUUAUAUUGAAGAUUUUUUUAUAAAUAUUCCAAUACACUAGUAAUAUUUUACAAAAAAUCUUCUCACCUAGAGAUUUCUUAAAAUAUCUCUAUUUAGAAUACUUUUAGAAUUCUAUCAUCGGAUAAAAUUUCUUUUCUUCUCAUUUUUAUUAUUUAUAUUUUUAAUAUAUUAAUCAAUUUUUAUUUAUUACUUAAAAAAAAGAAUUUUUAUUGUAUUGAAAAUUUUUUUAUAAAUACUCCAAUACACUGGUAGUAUUUUAAAAAAAAUAUUCUCACCUAGAGAUUUCGUAAGCAUCACUACUCAGAAUACCUUUGAAUCUCAUCAUCAGAUAAAAAUUUUCUUUUCUUACAUUUUUUAUUAAUUUUUUAUUAAUUAAUUUUUAUCAAUUGUUGUAUAUUUUUCUUUAUUCUAGUUCAUUAAAAUUUUGAUAAGUUUAUGUUUAGUAAUUAUUUUAAAUUAAUUAAAUUAAAAUUAUUUUAUAUUUUCUAUCAUUUAUUUUAUUUUAUAUGAAAAGUUUAUACAAAAAUAAAAUAAAAAUAACAAAAAAAUCAUAAAUUAAAUAAUAGAUAUAUAUAUAUAUAUAAUUUGCGUAAAAAAAAUAAAAGAAAAAAAAAGUUAUGACGAAAAUACCUAAAAUGCACCUGGCCAACAUGGUCAAAAUUCCAAGGCUGCUUAAAUGGCUCAGUCAACUGGCUUGGACCUAUAGUUAAUGCUUAAUCGAUUUGGCUUUGGGUAUAUGGCUCGGCUUGGUGGCUUAGCUACGACUUAAUCAAAACGACGUUGUUUUGAUUUCACUAUAAAUAACCCUCCAAAACACCCCAUCUCUUUCAUUUUUCCUUUCUUCUCCUUCUCUCUUAUUUCUUUCUCUCUCCUUCAAAAUUCUUCUUCUUUCUCCUUGCCAGUUUCCAACGAUCCAGUUGCCAUCGGAUGCCGUCGUCGGUCACCGUUGUCAGUUACCGAUAAAUGUGUCGAAAAAAUUCUAAAAAAAUACCUAAAAAAUUAUUUUCGACCCCGUGAACUCAAAUCCAACCUUCGUUUUACGAGAAACGGCUUCAAACGACAUAGAUCGAGACCCAAAGUUUCAGUUAAAAUAAAAAAUAAUUUCUUUUGUGUUUUUUACGUUGAAAUCCCUACUACCAGGGGUUGUUUUUUUUUUUUUUUUUUUUUGGGAUUGCGUUUUUCUGUUUUGGUGUUGGGGUUGUUUGCAUUUUUAGCUUCUGUGUUUGAAAGGUUUUUUUUUUAUACAAAAUGAGUUGGGGUUUUUUUUGUGAAUGGAUCUUCCUCUAGAAAGGGAAGAAGCUAGAGUCUUUAUAAAAUCGGACGUAUGUUCGGGAAUGUGGUCUAGGAGUCUGUAGGAGUGGCUGUAGGUGUUUGUAGCGCGUGAUUAUAGGGGUGACGAAGGUAUAAGCGUCUCUGAUCUAAUGGGACUGGUCUGGUGGCUAAAUGGCAUUGUUGGGGCUGGCUGCGCCACCAUUUUCAAGCCCUCUUUUUUUUUGUCUCUCUUCUUUUUUUUUUUUAAUUAUUAAUAUUAUUAUUAAUAUUAAACUGGAAAUGAAGACAACAGACCCGAAUAAAAUCGAUGUCUAUAAUUAAAUUUUUUUUUUAAGUAAUCAAUCACACUUAAAAAAAUUGAUGAUAAUUCUUUUAUUUUAAAAUUUUUAAAAUUUUCAUUUGAUGGUUUCAAAAACCGUAAUGACAAUUACUGUAAUUUUCUUUUAUUUCACAUAGGCGAAAGUAACGCUAUUGUCGAGGUCCAAUUCCAUGUGAUUUGCAUCAGGUUUAGCAAAAGAAAAUUUUCUUUUGCAUCCAAAGGAGCCCUUUUUUUAUUUUUCUUCUUUUUUUUUUUUUUUAAUGAUAGGUAGAAAUGAUGCAACUGGUGUGGAUUACAGCAUUCCAUCUUCUAUAAAUAUCAAGCAUGAGGCAGAUACUGGGUG
RNAcentral lists this long non-coding RNA (14875 nucleotides) under Durio zibethinus. RNAcentral's name for it is "long non-coding RNA (DZIB_LNC001824)". The record is from RNAcentral. Lineage: Eukaryota; Viridiplantae; Streptophyta; Magnoliopsida; Malvales; Malvaceae.